CCGAGUGCGGGCCCGCUCCGGGCCCAACCUCCCACCCGUGUCUCUUGCGUACUUUGUUGCUUUGGCGGGCCCACCGGGUCACUCCGGCCGCCGGGGGGCGCUAUGCUCCCGGGCCCGUGCCCGCCAGAGCACCCCUGUGAACCCUGAUGAAGAGAGGCUGUCUGAGUCCCACGAUAAUCGUUA
Molecule: unclassified non-coding RNA, 183 nt
Filed under: soil metagenome
Description: partial internal transcribed spacer 1
Source: RNAcentral